CAGUAGCCGCGGGAACACGUAGGUGGCAAGCGUUGUCCGGAAUUAUUGGGCGUAAAGGGCUCGCAGGCGGUUUCUUAAGUCUGAUGUGAAAGCCCCCGGCUCAACCGGGGAGGGUCAUUGGAAACUGGGAAACUUGAGUGCAGAAGAGGAGAGUGGAAUUCCACGUGUAGCGGUGAAAUGCGUAGAGAUGUGGAGGAACACCAGUGGCGAAGGCGACUCUUUGGUCUGUAACUGACGCUGAGGAGCGAAAGCGUGGGGAGCGAACAGGAUUAGAUACCCCCGUAGUCCCUGUCUCUUAUAC
Molecule: ribosomal RNA, 301 nt
Filed under: uncultured bacterium
Lineage: Bacteria
Description: partial 16S ribosomal RNA
Rfam family: Bacterial small subunit ribosomal RNA
Source: RNAcentral